AUAAAUGCACAGAAAUUAAAGGCUAUGAACCAAAAGUAAAAAGGCUGAGGAAUCUUAUUUUGAAAGGAUUUCAUUUCAAAAGCAUGCCCUCUGCCGGAGCAGUGGUGGCAUGAAAUCUGGAGACAAAAUUAGAAAGAACUCUGCAGUUCUUUAACUGGGCAGGCGAAUGUCCAGUCUGACACCCAAGGAUUUUAUUUAUGUAAAGACUAAAGAGCAUAGGUUGUGCUGCCUGUUCCAAUGAACUUCAGUCACAUAGUCCAGAAAAUUCAUUCCUGUGUGGGCACUUCAGAGAAAUGGGGAGAAGUCUGGGGGGCCAUCUUUGACAUGACGAAGGAAUGCUGGAAAUGUUGCUACUGAGACUAGAAGUUAGAUUUACUGAGUUAUUUAAUAUCCUAAAA
This is a long non-coding RNA of Pipistrellus kuhlii (Kuhl's pipistrelle), 398 nucleotides long. RefSeq lists it as uncharacterized. NCBI's taxonomy places the organism in Eukaryota, Metazoa, Chordata, Mammalia, Chiroptera, Vespertilionidae. The record is from RefSeq and is a predicted model, not a curated record. The transcript is spliced from 2 exons.